AGAGUUUGAUCCUGGCUCAGAGCGAACGCUGGCGGCAGGCCUAACACAUGCAAGUCGAGCGCCCGCAAGGGGAGCGGCGGACGGGUGAGUAACACGUGGGAACGUGCCCUUCGGUUCGGGAUAACUCAGGGAAACUUGAGCUAACACCGGAUACGCCCUUCGGGGAAAGGUUACGCCGAUGGAGCGGCCCGCGUCUGAUUAGCUAGUUGGUGAGGUAAAGGCUCACCAAGGCUACGAUCAGUAGCUGGUCUGAGAGGAUGAUCAGCCACACUGGGACUGAGACACGGCCCAGACUCCUACGGGAGGCAGCAGUGGGGAAUCUUGCGCAAUGGGCGAAAGCCUGACGCAGCCAUGCCGCGUGAAUGAUGAAGGUCUUAGGAUUGUAAAAUUCUUUCAGCGGGGACGAUAAUGACGGUACCCGCAGAAGAAGCCCCGGCUAACUUCGUG
This 447-nucleotide ribosomal RNA is filed under the name uncultured Caulobacter sp. Its description in RNAcentral is "bacterial SSU rRNA". It matches the Rfam family "Bacterial small subunit ribosomal RNA", at positions 8 to 507 of the family's 1533-position model. The record is from RNAcentral. Lineage: Bacteria; Pseudomonadati; Pseudomonadota; Alphaproteobacteria; Caulobacterales; Caulobacteraceae.